AUGAACGCUGGCGGCGUGCUUAACACAUGCAAGUCGAACGAUGAAGCCCAGCUUGCUGGGUGGAUUAGUGGCGAACGGGUGAGUAACACGUGAGUAACCUGCCCCUGACUCUGGGAUAAGCCCGGGAAACUGGGUCUAAUACUGGAUAUGACCUGUCACCGCAUGGUGGUGGGUGGAAAGAUUUUUUGGUUGGGGAUGGACUCGCGGCCUAUCAGCUUGUUGGUGAGGUAGUGGCUCACCAAGGCGACGACGGGUAGCCGGCCUGAGAGGGUGACCGGCCACACUGGGACUGAGACACGGCCCAGACUCCUACGGGAGGCAGCAGUGGGGAAUAUUGCACAAUGGGCGCAAGCCUGAUGCAGCGACGCCGCGUGAGGGAUGACGGCCUUCGGGUUGUAAACCUCUUUCAGUAGGGAAGAAGCCUUUGGGUGACGGUACCUGCAGAAGAAGCGCCGGCUAACUACGUGCCAGCAGCCGCGGUAAUACGUAGGGCGCAAGCGUUAUCCGGAUUUAUUGGGCGUAAAGAGCUCGUAGGCGGUUUGUCGCGUCUGCCGUGAAAGUCCGGGGCUUAACUCCGGAUCUGCGGUGGGUACGGGCAGACUAGAGUGCAGUAGGGGAGACUGGAAUUCCUGGUGUAGCGGUGAAAUGCGCAGAUAUCAGGAGGAACACCGAUGGCGAAGGCAGGUCUCUGGGCUGUAACUGACGCUGAGGAGCGAAAGCAUGGGGAGCGAACAGGAUUAGAUACCCUGGUAGUCCAUGCCGUAAACGUUGGGCACUAGGUGUGGGGGACAUUCCACGUUUUCCGCGCCGUAGCUAACGCAUUAAGUGCCCCGCCUGGGGAGUACGGCCGCAAGGCUAAAACUCAAAGGAAUUGACGGGGGCCCGCACAAGCGGCGGAGCAUGCGGAUUAAUUCGAUGCAACGCGAAGAACCUUACCAAGGCUUGACAUGGACUGGAUCGCUGCAGAGAUGUGGUUUCCCUUCGGGGCUGGUUCACAGGUGGUGCAUGGUUGUCGUCAGCUCGUGUCGUGAGAUGUUGGGUUAAGUCCCGCAACGAGCGCAACCCUCGUUCCAUGUUGCCAGCGGGUUAUGCCGGGGACUCAUGGGAGACUGCCGGGGUCAACUCGGAGGAAGGUGAGGACGACGUCAAAUCAUCAUGCCCCUUAUGUCUUGGGCUUCACGCAUGCUACAAUGGCCGGUACAAAGGGUUGCGAUACUGUGAGGUGGAGCUAAUCCCAAAAAGCCGGUCUCAGUUCGGAUUGGGGUCUGCAACUCGACCCCAUGAAGUCGGAGUCGCUAGUAAUCGCAGAUCAGCAACGCUGCGGUGAAUACGUUCCCGGGCCUUGUACACACCGC
This 1355-nucleotide ribosomal RNA is filed under the name uncultured bacterium. RNAcentral describes it as "bacterial SSU rRNA". It matches the Rfam family "Bacterial small subunit ribosomal RNA", at positions 29 to 1393 of the family's 1533-position model. The record is from RNAcentral.